GACGAACGCUGGCGGCGUGCCUAAUACAUGCAAGUAGAACGCUGAAGAGAGGAGCUUGCUCUUCUUGGAUGAGUUGCGAACGGGUGAGUAACGCGUAGGUAACCUGCCUGGUAGCGGGGGAUAACUAUUGGAAACGAUAGCUAAUACCGCAUAAAAUUGAUUAUUGCAUGAUAAUUAAUUGAAAGAUGCAACUGCAUCACUACCAGAUGGACCUGCGUUGUAUUAGCUAGUUGGUGAGGUAACGGCUCACCAAGGCGACGAUACAUAGCCGACCUGAGAGGGUGAUCGGCCACACUGGGACUGAGACACGGCCCAGACUCCUACGGGAGGCAGCAGUAGGGAAUCUUCGGCAAUGGGGGGAACCCUGACCGAGCAACGCCGCGUGGGUGAAGAAGGUUUUCGGAUCGUAAAGCUCUGUUGUAAGAGAAGAACGGGUGUGAGAGUGGAAAGUUCACACUGUGACGGUAUCUUACCAGAAAGGGACGGCUAACUACGUG
This 497-nucleotide ribosomal RNA is filed under the name uncultured bacterium. RNAcentral's name for it is "partial 16S ribosomal RNA". It matches the Rfam family "Bacterial small subunit ribosomal RNA", at positions 28 to 507 of the family's 1533-position model. The record is from RNAcentral.